AAAGAACUCGAUUAAGUAGAUCAAAUAAUCUUCAAAAUUAUUAGUGUUGGUUCAAAUCCAACGUUCUUUG
This 70-nucleotide transfer RNA is filed under the name Rhizophysa eysenhardtii. RNAcentral describes it as "tRNA-Trp". It matches the Rfam family "tRNA". Rfam says of the family: Transfer RNA (tRNA) molecules are approximately 80 nucleotides in length. Their secondary structure includes four short double-helical elements and three loops (D, anti-codon, and T loops). Further hydrogen bonds mediate the characteristic L-shaped molecular structure. tRNAs have two regions of fundamental functional importance: the anti-codon, which is responsible for specific mRNA codon recognition, and the 3' end, to which the tRNAs corresponding amino acid is attached (by aminoacyl-tRNA synthetases). tRNAs cope with the degeneracy of the genetic code in two manners: having more than one tRNA (with a specific anti-codon) for a particular amino acid; and 'wobble' base-pairing, i.e. permitting non-standard base-pairing at the 3rd anti-codon position. The record is from RNAcentral. Lineage: Eukaryota; Metazoa; Cnidaria; Hydrozoa; Siphonophorae; Rhizophysidae.